AACGAACGCUGGCGGCAUGCCUAACACAUGCAAGUCGAACGAGACCUUCGGGUCUAGUGGCGCACGGGUGCGUAACGCGUGGGAACCUGCCCUUAGGUUCGGAAUAACUCCCCGAAAGGGGUGCUAAUACCGGAUAAUGUCUUCGGACCAAAGAUUUAUCGCCUUUGGAUGGGCCCGCGUUGGAUUAGCUAGUUGGUAGGGUAAAAGCCUACCAAGGCGACGAUCCAUAGCUGGUCUGAGAGGAUGAUCAGCCACACUGGGACUGGGACACGGCCCAGACCCCACCGGAGGGCGGCGGUGGGAAUAUUGGACAAUGGGCGAAAGCCUGAUCCAGCAAUGCCGCGUGAGUGAUGAAGGCCUUAGGGUUGUAAAGCUCUUUUACCCGGGAUGAUAAUGACAGUACCGGGAGAAUAAGCUCCGGCUAACUCCGUG
RNAcentral lists this ribosomal RNA (432 nucleotides) under uncultured bacterium. RNAcentral's name for it is "partial 16S ribosomal RNA". It matches the Rfam family "Bacterial small subunit ribosomal RNA", at positions 29 to 507 of the family's 1533-position model. The record is from RNAcentral.